UUAGAGUUUGAUCAUGGCUCAGGACGAACGCUGGCGGCGUGCCUAAUACAUGCAAGUAGAACGCUGAAGAGAGGAGCUUGCUCUUCUUGGAUGAGUUGCGAACGGGUGAGUAACGCGUAGGUAACCUGCCUUGUAGCGGGGGAUAACUAUUGGAAACGAUAGCUAAUACCGCAUAACAAUGGAUGACACAUGUCAUUUAUUUGAAAGGGGCAAUUGCUCCACUACAAGAUGGACCUGCGUUGUAUUAGCUAGUAGGUGAGGUAAUGGCUCACCUAGGCGACGAUACAUAGCCGACCUGAGAGGGUGAUCGGCCACACUGGGACUGAGACACGGCCCAAACUCCUACGGGAGGCAGCAGUAGGGAAUCUUCGGCAAUGGGGGCAACCCUGACCGAGCAACGCCGCGUGAGUGAAGAAGGUUUUCGGAUCGUAAAGCUCUGUUGUAAGUCAAGAACGGGUGUGAGAGUGGAAAGUUCACACUGUGACGGUAGCUUACCAGAAAGGGACGGCUAACUACGUGCCAGCAGCCGCGGUAAUACGUAGGUCCCGAGCGUUGUCCGGAUUUAUUGGGCGUAAAGCGAGCGCAGGCGGUUUGAUAAGUCUGAAGUUAAAGGCUGUGGCUCAACCAUAGUUCGCUUUGGAAACUGUCAAACUUGAGUGCAGAAGGGGAGAGUGGAAUUCCAUGUGUAGCGGUGAAAUGCGUAGAUAUAUGGAGGAACACCGGUGGCGAAAGCGGCUCUCUGGUCUGUAACUGACGCUGAGGCUCGAAAGCGUGGGGAGCGAACAGGAUUAGAUACCCUGGUAGUCCACGCCGUAAACGAUGAGUGCUAGGUGUUGGAUCCUUUCCGGGAUUCAGUGCCGCAGCUAACGCAUUAAGCACUCCGCCUGGGGAGUACGAUCGCAAGAUUGAACUCAAAAGGAAUUGACGGGGGCCCGCACAAGCGGUGGAGCAUGUGGUUUAAUUCGAAGCAACGCGAAGAACCUUACCAGGUCUUGACAUCCCGAUGCUAUUUCUAGAGAUAGAAAGUUACUUCGGUACAUCGGUGACAGGUGGUGCAUGGUUGU
This 1064-nucleotide ribosomal RNA is filed under the name uncultured bacterium. RNAcentral's name for it is "bacterial SSU rRNA". It matches the Rfam family "Bacterial small subunit ribosomal RNA", at positions 1 to 1052 of the family's 1533-position model. The record is from RNAcentral.